This 253-nucleotide ribosomal RNA is filed under the name uncultured bacterium. Its description in RNAcentral is "partial 16S ribosomal RNA". It matches the Rfam family "Bacterial small subunit ribosomal RNA", at positions 524 to 776 of the family's 1533-position model. The record is from RNAcentral.
UACGUAGGGUGCAAGCGUUGUCCGGAAUUAUUGGGCGUAAAGAGCUUGUAGGCGGUUUGUCGCGUCUGCUGUGAAAUUUCGGGGCUCAACCCCGAACUUGCAGUGGGUACGGGCAGACUAGAGGUAUGCAGGGGAGAACGGAAUUCCUGGUGUAGCGGUGAAAUGCGCAGAUAUCAGGAGGAACACCAGUGGCGAAGGCGGUUCUCUGGGACGGUACUGACGCUGAGACGCGAAAGCGUGGGGAGCGAACAGG